GGGGUUAUGGCGGAAUGGUAGACGCUGCGGACUUAAAAUCCGUUGAUGUAAAAAUCGUGAGGGUUCAAGUCCCUCUAUCCCCA
RNAcentral lists this transfer RNA (83 nucleotides) under Chlorosarcina stigmatica. Its description in RNAcentral is "tRNA-Leu". It matches the Rfam family "tRNA". Rfam says of the family: Transfer RNA (tRNA) molecules are approximately 80 nucleotides in length. The record is from RNAcentral. Lineage: Eukaryota; Viridiplantae; Chlorophyta; Chlorophyceae; Chlorosarcinales; Chlorosarcinaceae.